GAUGAACGCUGGCAGCGUGCCUAAUACAUGCAAGUCGAGCGAACGGACGAGAAGCUUGCUUCUCUGAUGUUAGCGGCGGACGGGUGAGUAACACGUGGAUAACCUACCUAUAAGACUGGGAUAACUUCGGGAAACCGGAGCUAAUACCGGAUAAUAUUUUGAACCGCAUGGUUCAAAAGUGAAAGACGGUCUUGCUGUCACUUAUAGAUGGAUCCGCGCUGCAUUAGCUAGUUGGUAAGGUAACGGCUUACCAAGGCAACGAUGCAUAGCCGACCUGAGAGGGUGAUCGGCCACACUGGAACUGAGACACGGUCCAGACUCCUGCGGGAGGCAGCAGUAGGGAAUCUUCCGCAAUGGGCGAAAGCCUGACGGAGCAACGCCGCGUGAGUGAUGAAGGUCUUCGGAUCGUAAAACUCUGUUAUUAGGGAAGAACAUAUGUGUAAGUAACUGUGCACAUCUUGACGGUACCUAAUCAGAAAGCCACGGCUAACUACGUG
RNAcentral lists this ribosomal RNA (497 nucleotides) under uncultured bacterium. RNAcentral's name for it is "partial 16S ribosomal RNA". It matches the Rfam family "Bacterial small subunit ribosomal RNA", at positions 28 to 507 of the family's 1533-position model. The record is from RNAcentral.